This 450-nucleotide ribosomal RNA is filed under the name uncultured Glomus. RNAcentral's name for it is "SSU rRNA". It matches the Rfam family "Eukaryotic small subunit ribosomal RNA", at positions 569 to 1024 of the family's 1831-position model. The record is from RNAcentral. Lineage: Eukaryota; Fungi; Glomeromycota; Glomeromycetes; Glomerales; Glomeraceae.
AGCAGCCGCGGUAAUUCCAGCUCCAAUAGCGUAUAUUAAAGUUGUUGCAGUUAAAAAGCUCGUAGUUGAAUUUCGGGAUCAAGGAAUCGGUCAUGCCUUGGUAUGUACUGGUUUUAUUGGUUCUCACCUUCUAAAGAACCAUAAUGUCAUUUAUUUGAUGUUAUGGGGAAUUAGGACUGUUACCUUGAAAAAAUUAGAGUGUUUAAAGCAAGCUUACGCUUGAACACAUUAGCAUGGAAUAAUGAAAUAGGACAUCAGAUUCUAUUUUGUUGGUUUCUAGGAUCGAUGUAAUGAUUAAUAGGGAUAGUUGGGGGCAUUAGUAUUCAAUUGUCAGAGGUGAAAUUCUUGGAUUUAUUGAAGACUAACUACUGCGAAAGCAUUUGCCAAGGAUGUUUUCAUUAAUCAAGAACGAAAGUUAGGGGAUCGAAGACGAUCAGAUACCGUCGUAGU